Molecule: unclassified non-coding RNA, 3643 nt
Filed under: Anneissia japonica
Lineage: Eukaryota; Metazoa; Echinodermata; Crinoidea; Comatulida; Comatulidae
Description: 3'-5' exoribonuclease 1-like, transcript variant X2
Source: RNAcentral
CUAAUAAAGAGAUAACCUCUGAACUUAAAAAGAGGGUGUAUCUCAUUGAUCUCUGUUUCACGCGUGUGUGUCGAAUGGUAGUGUUGUAUCGGCACGCAUCGUAUUAGAGUGUCAAAUUAACUGCCUCCAAUAAGAAUCGAACUUCCAACGAAAUUCGCCAGUGGCCCAAUUGCUUAAGCCAUCGGCUCAGAAACAGCAGGAGAUCCCGGGUUCGAAUCUCAGUUUGAAAAAUUGAUUCACAGUCGCAGAUUCCUCGUCUUCUUAAAUAAAUUAAUUAUACACAUUGAAAGAAAUGUUACACGUGAAGAGAAUGAUAACCCGUUACUGUCUUGCAGUAAUGCUUUACACAUAAUUGUGAAAGGUAAAGAAGAGGAAUCCGUGAGUUACGGAUUCGAAUCCCAAGUGAGACUCGGGCUCUACUGAAAAUCCUUGGUGCAUGUCUUUUGCUCCUAGAAUAUUUUUUUUUUAAAGCCAGGAUGUUUUAUAUUUACGACUCUUAUUAAUAAGUUGUAUGGUUUUUUUUUUCUUUUGUAGGGCCUAAUUUAUGAACAAAAUAAGAAAAAUAAAUGUUAUCAUUGAAUUGAUUUGAAUUAACCAACUGGGUUAAUAAUUCGAUUCCGAUUACAGGUAACUGAUUUUCGCACUCUUUUCCACAUGCGUAGAACAAGCUCUCGACAGCGAAUAACAGAGAUCAAAUGGAUAAUCCCUUCUUUUAAAUGAUGUUUUAUGUCCUUAUAAUUGUUAAGAUGUGUAAUUUUUAUAUAGUAAUGAUGUGAUGUCAACAUGACAAUAUUUAUUUAGUCAUGUCACAUGUUUUUGAAAUAAAUAAAAUAUUAUAAGACCUUACAAGAUAGUGGCACUGACCAUUUUAUACACACCAUACCAAUCAGCGACGACCGAGUUACAGUAGGUUUCAGAAUAAAAAAAAAUAUCUAGAUGCCAAUAAGAUCAUGAAAAGAAUGAACCUUUUUGCUAAGCCCCGCCCAUUGGAUACUGUUGCUAAGGUCCCGUUACGUAAAGACGUGCUUUUUGGGACGGCGUAUUCCUGGCACUUUUCUGAUUGGUCAGUGGUUAAGGUUUGAUUUACACUCCGAAAAGCUCCAUUCACAGAUCUGAAUUUCACAGUUUUCAGAUUAUUUUUGAUUACACUAUCCGUAGUCAAUUCCACCGAGACAGUACUGCUGAAACAUUAUUCAAAACAUUAAUGUUUUCAAGAUAACGGAAGGACAUGACCACAAAGAGGAAAACCGUUGACAUACUUUCAACCGCACAUCAUGAUCAAUUUAUCUACCGAGGAAAUACCGCAUCUCCUGUGUACGAGGUCUUAAUUAUAAGGAUUGUUUUCGAAUGCAGCAAUCUUGCUGUCAGUUCACCGUUAUAAGCUACAGUCUCAAAAACCGAUUCAACACUGUUGAUCGUCACACGUUCAGCGGAAACCAAAUAACCACACAACGAAGAAAACUUAGUUACGAUUAGUGCAUUCCAAAGAUUUGUCUGCCCAGAAGUGAAUGGAAUAUUGACGCCAUUCUGUCGAGAGCUUACGAAAAUAACCCAGAGAGAUGUCGACCGAGCAUAUUCAUUUCCGGACGUGUACGACGACUUGUUGGAAUGGAUGAGGGACAACGGGUUAAAGCUUAAACCAGAACGGCAGAACUUUACUUUCGUCACUGAUGGUAUCUUCGACUGCAACCAGUACAUACGAAAUCAGUGCAAGCUCUCCAAGCUCAAGUUUCCAAAAUGGGCGAAAAGUUUCAGUAACAUCAAAAAACAUUUCAACUAUGUUCUACCGCAUAUGAAGAGGACCGAUAGGAGAUCAAAUAGCAUCACGGACAUGAUGGAAAAACUUAAGAUUCCAAUGGAUGGUCAGUUGCACCGGGCUAUUGAUGACGCGAAGCAGGUGGUGAAGAUAAUGAAAGGUCUUCGAGAACUCCGACCUAAUUUCGAAUUUACAGACAAUGAAACAAUUAAGCCUUAUUGGAGUAUGAGAUUCUUCGACUAAACGCCUAUGCCUAAUGAAUCACAUUUCCACUUCAAUCAUUAUUACUGAACGAAUAUUAGCCUGAAUUGUUGGAAAUUCGAUUCUAAGCUUUUUAUGGUUAUAAAAAAGAUAUAGUUUGACAUUUAGUUUAAUUGGACUUUUUAACGUAUAGUACAGAGCCCCUAUGAGAUGUUUUCGAUGUAACGAAAUAAUUUCGUUCCCUCAACAUAAUAUUUUAUAAUAAUAACGAAAUAUUAUCAACGGAAUGGUUAUUAUUGUUUUAAACCACUGUUACGUGCCGUAUGUAAUGUAUCGGGUGCUCUGAAGUGUGACGAAACGUUCUGGGGAUGUAAACAGACGAUGGACCCGGGCUGUCUAAAAGACAUUAUUAAAUUACCCAAAAUCUCGUUGUUUCACUCCUUACCUUCCCUAGCUUUUACAUUUUCCCUUUUACAGUAAUUUUAUCAGUCUGUAAAAAAGGGCAAUAUCCCGGCCGUUAUAAUCAGAAAUUGGGUAAUUAACCGUUUUCAUCGCUAAUUGAUCGGUAUUUUUACAAUCUACAUAGAUGUUUUACACUGUUACUGUAAGGUAUAUGGAAUGAAACGGAUUGGUAUAAUCAUUUCGGUAACGUCUCACUAUGAACCUUUCCGAUAAACCGCGUCCCCUGGAUAUGGUUACUAAGGUCCCCACAAAGUGACAGUGUAAAAACAUAUGCAAAAAAAGUGCGUUUAUAUCACUGAUCUUUAUUGAGCUGCAUUGCUAAUCGGCCAAAAAUUGUACAAAAAAGUGAAGUCACUGACGCCAUAUGCAACAACACAAGUGAUACCAGUCCAGACCAGUUGUUUUUUUCUUUUUCUUUUUAAAUUAUUGUUUAAAAUAUCUAUCCUCUAAACACUCAACGCUCAAGCAAUGUCGUGCUGUGUUUUAGUCAAUGAGAUCAGUGGUUUGUGGGAGAUGCAAUGAAUUAACAUUUUCUUUUUGUAGAAGAAUUAUUGAAGACUGGAAUUCCAUUUCUUGGAUAAAUCUAAUAACCUUUGUAUGCCGUUCAUUAUCAUAUUGUUAAAACUAAAUUUGAACAUUAAAAAAAUAAGGAAGCUAUCUGUGCUCCUUUUUCAAAGUAUUGAAAAGCCAUGCUCUUCAGUGUACUUUGCUAUCAUUUUUAAUGUCCGACUCACAGAAACUAUAGAUGCAAUGAAUUAAAUUUUCCUUUUUUAGAAGAAUUAUUGAAGACUGGAAUUUCAUUUCUAUUGAUGAUAGGAACCACAGAAACUCUACAUCAUUUUAAACUUUUAUUGAAACAAUAAUAUAAUCUUCCACGUUUCCCCGAUCUCUGUCCUGUUAUGUUUGCUUCAGUUUUACAAUGCAUAUUUAUUUAUUUAUUAUUGCCUUAGUAUUGUGAUUUAUCUUCUAAUUUCAUUCCUUAUAUUAUUUUCUCUUUUUCGCUUGGUAUAGUGUUUCUUUUUUUUUUUAGUUAGGCCUACCUCGUUAAUUUUAAAUAAAACUAAAAAAAAAAAAAAUUAUAAAAAUAUAAAAAUAUAUAAAAUAAGUUAACAUAAAUGACCUUGCACUUGCUAAAAACGUAUUUAAAUUGAUUAAAAGGUGCAGUAAACCGUAAAGAUAAUUUUGGAUCUGACAUUUCCAAAAAAAAAAAAAAAAUAAAUUAUA